RNAcentral lists this ribosomal RNA (484 nucleotides) under uncultured bacterium. RNAcentral's name for it is "partial 16S ribosomal RNA". It matches the Rfam family "Bacterial small subunit ribosomal RNA", at positions 29 to 523 of the family's 1533-position model. The record is from RNAcentral.
AGUGAACGAUGGCGGCGUGCGUAACACAUGCAAGUCGAACGAGAACGGGUUAUAGCUUGCUAUAAGUGUCAGCUAAGUGGCGCACGGGUGAGUAAUGUAUAGGGAAGAGGCCUCUUAGUAAGGGAUAACAAAUGGAAACGUUUGCGAAGAAGUUAUACUAAUGUUAUACAGAAGAGGAAAAGGGUUAGAUUUAUUGGUAAGAGAUUAGCCUGUAGUGUAUAAGUUAGUUGGUGGGGUAAUGGCUUACGAAGAUAAUGACACAUAGCUGGUUUGAGAGGAUGAUCAGUCACAUUGGAACUGAGACACGGUCCAGACUCCUACGGGAGGCAGCAGUGGGGAAUAUUGCACAAUGGACGAAAGUCUGAUGCAGCAACGCCGCGUGGAGGAUGACACAUUUCGGUGCGUAAACUCCUUUUAUAUGAGAAGAUAAUGACGGUAUUAUAAGAAUAAGCACCGGCUAACUCCGUGCCAGCAGCCGCCGUAA